This 164-nucleotide ribosomal RNA is filed under the name Quercus cerris (Turkey oak). Its description in RNAcentral is "5.8S ribosomal RNA". It matches the Rfam family "5.8S ribosomal RNA". From Rfam's summary of the family: 5.8S ribosomal RNA (5.8S rRNA) is a component of the large subunit of the eukaryotic ribosome. It is transcribed by RNA polymerase I as part of the 45S precursor that also contains 18S and 28S rRNA. The record is from RNAcentral. Lineage: Eukaryota; Viridiplantae; Streptophyta; Magnoliopsida; Fagales; Fagaceae.
AAAACGACUCUCGGCAACGGAUAUCUAGGCUCUCGCAUCGAUGAAGAACGUAGCGAAAUGUGAUACUUGGUGUGAAUUGCAGAAUCCCGCGAAUCAUCGAGUUUUUGAACGCAAGUUGCGCCCGAAGCCUUUCGGUCGAGGGCACGUCUGCCUGGGUGUCACGC